UAGGGAAUCUUCCGCAAUGGGCGAAAGCUUGACGGAGCAACGCCGCGUGAGUGAUGAAGGUCUUCGGAUCGUAAAACUCUGUUAUUAGGGAAGAACAAAUGUGUAAGUAACUAUGCACGUCUUGACGGUACCUAAUCAGAAAGCCACGGCUAACUACGUGCCAGCAGCCGCGGUAAUACGUAGGUGGCAAGCGUUAUCCGGAAUUAUUGGGCGUAAAGCGCGCGUAGGCGGUUUUUUAAGUCUGAUGUGAAAGCCCACGGCUCAACCGUGGAGGGUCAUUGGAAACUGGAGAACUUGAGUGCAGAAGAGGAAAGUGGAAUUCCAUGUGUAGCGGUGAAAUGCGCAGAGAUAUGGAGGAACACCAGUGGCGAAGGCGACUUUCUGGUCUGUAACUGACGCUGAUGUGCGAAAGCGUGGGGAUCAAACAGG
This 429-nucleotide ribosomal RNA is filed under the name Actinomycetes bacterium. Its description in RNAcentral is "Actinobacteria bacterium partial 16S ribosomal RNA". It matches the Rfam family "Bacterial small subunit ribosomal RNA", at positions 355 to 776 of the family's 1533-position model. Lineage: Bacteria; Bacillati; Actinomycetota; Actinomycetes. The record is from RNAcentral.